GAAGGAAAGGAAUAUUCUGCUGGG
This 24-nucleotide non-coding RNA is filed under the name Cricetulus griseus (Chinese hamster). The record is from RNAcentral. Lineage: Eukaryota; Metazoa; Chordata; Mammalia; Rodentia; Cricetidae.